RNAcentral lists this ribosomal RNA (393 nucleotides) under uncultured bacterium. Its description in RNAcentral is "partial 16S ribosomal RNA". It matches the Rfam family "Bacterial small subunit ribosomal RNA", at positions 523 to 918 of the family's 1533-position model. The record is from RNAcentral.
AUACGGAGGAUGCAAGCGUUAUCCGGAUUUAUUGGGUUUAAAGGGAGCGCAGGCGGAGAUGCAAGCGUGACGUCAAAUUUCGGGGCUCAACCCCGUCUCGCGUCGCGAACUGCGUCCCUUGGUUGCGGGAAGGGGAGGCGGAACUCGUGGUGUAGCGGUGAAAUGCAUAGAUAUCACGAAGAACUCCGAUCGCGAAGGCAGCCUUCCGGCCCGUCAACGACGCUCAUGCUCGAAGGUGCGGGUAUCAAACAGGAUUAGAUACCCUGGUAGUCCGCACAGUAAACGAUGGACACCCGCGGUUUGGCCUGUAUGGCUGAGCCGCCAAGCGAAAGCGUUAAGUGUCCCACCUGGGGAGUACGCCGGCAACGGUGAAACUCAAAUGAAUUGACGGGG